GUGCUGGUUUGGCGUGGCCAGGAAGGAAAAGGAUGCCAUGCUUUGCAUAGCACAUAGAUAAAUACUGCCAACCAGCUGUGUGGGGUAGGAGGUCAUCCUUCUUCAAGGGUUGUCACUCUUUGUUUCCAGGUUUCAGCUCACUGUGGAAAAGAGCAGAGCAGAGGUUGCCGCGGAAAAGAAAGCUGCAGUAGAGUGGAAGAUGAGUAGAGGGGGCUCUGCCGGCAGGCUGCUGCAGAGGCGGAAGACACUUCCCCCCUCCAUGCUGCUGCAGCGCAAGCCAAGCUCAAGGCAGAAAGACGUGGCGAAGGAGCCUUCUGCCAGCGCGCUCCCGCCAGGUGCAGGCAGCUCCCG
RNAcentral lists this long non-coding RNA (351 nucleotides) under Phasianus colchicus (ring-necked pheasant). Its description in RNAcentral is "lncRNA (ENSPCLG00000017397.1)". The record is from RNAcentral. Lineage: Eukaryota; Metazoa; Chordata; Aves; Galliformes; Phasianidae.